Molecule: long non-coding RNA, 391 nt
Filed under: Mytilus galloprovincialis (Mediterranean mussel)
Lineage: Eukaryota; Metazoa; Mollusca; Bivalvia; Mytilida; Mytilidae
Source: RNAcentral
CUGCAGUCUUAUCAUUGGUUGGAUAUGUUGUAUUUAAUUUUUUUAAAGUUAAAAAUAAAUUAAAUCCGUUUUUUGAAACGUAUAAAAUGAAUGCUGAAGAAUUAUUAAGCGAGCAAAUUGUGGAAAACAUGAAUAUUGAUGAUGAUAAACAAGCGAGCGAAGUGAACGGUUCCCUUCAAGAAAAAAAACGCGAGAGAUUAUCAUCCGUUGUUGCUGGUGGGAGUAGUAAACAAUAUCUGACAGUUGUAAUUCUUUUUUGGGGGGUGCGCUGGAGUCGUUAAAGUACUAUACUACUUUUGUUUUAAAUAUUGCAGUAAUUACUAAAGUUACUUGUAGGUCGGUCAAUCUAGGAUAAAAUUGACACUAACCUAAAAGUAAUUGCAACAGAAGA